AUAUACAAAAUGUGAGGUUCUCGACUGUUGCUAAUCAACUGCACCUUAGGAUUCGAGGACUACGACAACAGAGUGAGACGGAGAGGCUUCAGCGAGGAGAGAUAGAUGGGUGGUAGACAACUUCUAUCUAGCUAGUUAUAUACUAAUGAAGAAUAUCUGAUUCAAUAUAUAUUAUCUUGUAUAUUGUAAAUCUGAUAUCCACACUUGGAGUUAACAAUUUUGUAUCAACUGUGUCGGUGUUUGUACUUGAAGACAAUCUCCAUCUCUUGAAUGCUACCAUUUUUUAGAGUUCUGUACUCAACUUGUAGCGUGUUCAUUUUAAAAUUCUGGUUGUCGAACAACAUGCUAUUAUGGGUCAGACAAAUGUUGAUGGCAAAUUUAUUGUCAUAGAAAAAUGAUUACAAAUAUCUAUUAGCCUUUACCCAACCUAUAUAUUCGUUAUAAAUACCGUAUUAUGAUU
This 460-nucleotide long non-coding RNA is filed under the name Olea europaea (common olive). Its description in RNAcentral is "long non-coding RNA (OEUR_LNC013131)". The record is from RNAcentral. Lineage: Eukaryota; Viridiplantae; Streptophyta; Magnoliopsida; Lamiales; Oleaceae.